RNAcentral lists this long non-coding RNA (657 nucleotides) under Cricetulus griseus (Chinese hamster). Its description in RNAcentral is "lncRNA (ENSCGRG00000024627.1)". Lineage: Eukaryota; Metazoa; Chordata; Mammalia; Rodentia; Cricetidae. The record is from RNAcentral.
AAGACACGGGAAGAAAAGAGUGUAGAAUUCCCGAAGCCGUGGACCUAAGCAAUGUGGUCUGCAAACCAGAGUCUGAGAAGUGUUGUAUUUUGCCGGGUAAGGUAAAAAGAACUGUACACCGGAGGGAGCUUAUAAGACAUCAACGACGGAAUGUUCAGAAUCCAGGUGGGCAGACAGAUGCACAAACCUCUCAGGAAGUGAGCCUGUACUGGGAAGUGAGCCUGCACCAAGAAGUGAGCCUGCACCAGGAAGUGGGCCUGCAUGGGGAAGUGAGCCUGCACCGGGAAGUGGGCCUGCAUGGGGAAGUGAGCCUGCACCGGGAAGUGGGCCUGCAUGGGGAAGUGAGCCUGCACUGGGAAGUGAGCCUGCACCGGGAAGUGAGCCUGCAUGGGGAAGUGAGCCUGCACCGGGAAGUGGGCCUGCAAUGGGAAGUGAGCCUGUAUGGGGAAGUGAGCCUGCAUUGGAAAGUGAGCCUGCACUGGGAAGUGAGCCUGCAUUAGGAAGUGAGCCUGCACCAGGAAGUGAGCCUGCACCGGGAAAUGAGCCUACACCAGGAAGUGAGCCUGCACCAGGAAGUGAGCCUGCACCGGGAAAUGAGCCUACACCAGGAAGUGAGCCUGCACCAGGAAGUGAGCCUGCACCGGGAAAUGAGCCUAC